Molecule: ribosomal RNA, 465 nt
Filed under: uncultured Sphingomonas sp.
Lineage: Bacteria; Pseudomonadati; Pseudomonadota; Alphaproteobacteria; Sphingomonadales; Sphingomonadaceae
Description: bacterial SSU rRNA
Rfam family: Bacterial small subunit ribosomal RNA
Source: RNAcentral
AGAGGUUUUGUAUCCUCGGCGUCAGAACGAACGCUGGCGGCAUGCCUAACACAUGCAAGUCGAACGAAGGCUUCGGCCUUAGUGGCGCACGGGUGCGUAACGCGUGGGAAGUCUGCCCUUAGGUUCGGAAUAACAGCUGGAAACGGACUGCUAAUACCGGAUGAUGACGAAAGUCCAAAGAUUUAUUGCCUGAGGAUGAGCCCGCGUUGGAUUAGGUAGUUGGUGGGGUAAAGGGACCGUACCAAGCCGACGAUCCAUAGCUGGUCUGAGAGGAUGAUCAGCCACACUGGGACGUCGAGACACGGCCCAGACUCCUACGGGAGGCAGCAGUGGGGAAUAUUGGACAAUGGGCGAAAGCCUGAUCCAGCAAUGCCGCGUGAGUGAUGAAGGCCCUAGGGUUGUAAAGCUCUUUUACCCGGGAAGAUAAUGACUGUACCGGGAGAAUAAGCCCCGGCUAACUCCGUG